UAAUACGGAGGGAGCUAGCGUUGUUCGGAAUUACUGGGCGUAAAGCGUACGUAGGCGGUUAUUCAAGUCAGAGGUGAAAGCCUGGAGCUCAACUCCAGAACUGCCUUUGAAACUAGAUAGCUAGAAUCUUGGAGAGGCGAGUGGAAUUCCGAGUGUAGAGGUGAAAUUCGUAGAUAUUCGGAAGAACACCAGUGGCGAAGGCGACUCGCUGGACAAGUAUUGACGCUGAGGUACGAAAGCGUGGGGAGCAAACAGGAUUAGAUACCCUGGUAGUCCACGCCGUAAACGAUGAUAACUAGCUGCCGGGGUUCUGAGAACUUCGGUGGCGCAGCUAACGCAUUAAGUUAUCCGCCUGGGGAGUACGGUCGCAAGAUUA
Molecule: ribosomal RNA, 376 nt
Filed under: uncultured bacterium
Lineage: Bacteria
Description: bacterial SSU rRNA
Rfam family: Bacterial small subunit ribosomal RNA
Source: RNAcentral